UGUUCCAGUUUGAUCACUGAAGAUAAGCAACAUCGAGCCUGGUUAGUACUUAGAUGGGUGACUCCUCGGGAAUACCAGGUGCUAUA
Acanthosepion pharaonis is the source of this 86-nucleotide non-coding RNA. The record is from the annotation of a GenBank genome assembly. Lineage: Eukaryota; Metazoa; Mollusca; Cephalopoda; Sepiida; Sepiidae.